Molecule: long non-coding RNA, 2927 nt
Organism: Cyanistes caeruleus (blue tit)
Lineage: Eukaryota; Metazoa; Chordata; Aves; Passeriformes; Paridae
Source: Ensembl
UCCUGGUGGGGAUUUGGGUUUCCCUGAUUUAAUUUCGUCCUUCCCUGAUUUAAUUUUGUCCUUCCUUGAUUUAAUUUUGGUCUUCCUUGAUUUAAUUUUGGGGUUCCCCGAUUUAAUUUUGGGGUUCCCCGAUUUAAUUUCGGGGUUCCUCAAUAAAAUUUUGACCCCCCCAGGUACCCUUUUAUUUUUUUGGGGUGUCCCCAAAAAAUUCCCCCGAUGUCUCUGGGGCUUCCCUUGAACCUCCCUCUGCCUCCAGGUAAGAAAAAAAACCCCCAAAAAUUAAAAUAAACACCAAAAAAACCCCCCAAAAAAUUAAGAAAAAAAUAUUUAAAACCCACAAAAUUUUAAUUAAUUAAUAUUUUUGGUUUUUUUGUUAAUUAAAACAGAGGAAGAAGCCCCAAAUUCUGCCACCCCCCAGGAGCUGGGAGCCAACCCGGGGCUGGCCCGGCUGCUCCGGGAUUUGGGGGGGCUGCUGGGGGGGGAUGGGCUGAGCCCCCCGCUGCAGAAGGAGCUGCGCCAGGCCGAGGUGUCCCUGUGCCGGGCCCGGGCGCUUUGGCUGCGCCUGGAGCUGCUCUGGAGGAUUUUGGGGGAGCUGAUCCGGGACCCCCGAGAUUUGGAGCCUUCUGUGAGUCCCAAAAUCCCCCAAAAAAUCCUCCCAAAAUCCCCCCAAAAUCCCCUCAAAAUCCUCCCAAAAUCCCCCCAAAAUUCCCUGAAAAAUUCCCAAAAAAUUCCCAAAAAUUCCCCAAAAAUUGCCCUUAAAUUCCACCUAAAUUCCCUCAAAAAUUCCCCCAAAAUUUCCCCAAAAUUCCCUCAAAAAAUUCCCCCCAAAUUCCUCAAAAAUUCCGAAAAAUUCUCUCAAAAGUUCCCCCUAAAAUCCUUCAAAAUCCCCCCAAAAUUCCCUCAAAAUUUCCCAAAAAUUCCCAAAAAUUCCCUCAAAAUUCCCAAAAAAAUUCCCCCAAAAUCCCCAAAAAAUUCCCAAAAAAUUCCCCAAAAUCCUCUAAAAAUUCUCUUAAAAAUUCCCAAAAAAUUCCCCCAAAAUCCCCCCAAAAUUCCCUCAAAUUUCCCNNNNNNNNNNNNNNNNNNNNUUGUUUGGAUUUUUGGGGUUUUUGGGUUGGAUUUUGGGUUGGAUUUUGGGGUUUUUGGGUUGGAUUUUGGUGGUUUUGGGGUGAAUUUUGGGGUUUUUGGGGUCCCUGGGUUGGAUUUUGGUGGUUUUGGGGUGAAUUUUGGGGUUUUUGGUUUGGAUUUUGGGGUUUUUAGGGUGAAUUUUGGGAUUUUUGGGGUUUUUGGGGUCCCUGGGUUGGAUUUUGGUGGUUUUGGGGUGAAUUUUGGGGUUUUUGGGUUGGAUUUUUGGGGUUUUUGGGUUCCUGGGUCGGAUUUUGGUGAUUUUGGGGUGAUUUUUGGGGUUUUUGGGUUGGAUUUUGGGGUUUUUGGGGAUUUCUGGGUUGGAUUUCGGGGUUUUUGGGUCCCUGGUUUGGAUUUUUGGGGUUUUGGGGUGAAUUUUGGGGUUUCUGGGCUGAAUUUUGGGAUUUUUGGGGUUUUUGGGUCUUUGGGUUGGAUUUUGGGUUGGAUUUUGGGGUUUUUUGGUUUGGAUUUUGGGGUUUUUGGGGUCCCUGGUUUGGAUUUUUGGGGUUUUUGGGGUCCCUGGGUUGGAUUUUGGGGUGAAUUUUGUGUUUUUUGGGUCCCCCCAGGCCGAGGUGUCCCUGUGCCGGGCCCGGGCGCUUUGGCUGCGCCUGGAGCUGCUCUGGAGGAUUUUGGGGGAGCUGAUCCGGGACCCCCGAGAUUUGGAGCCUUCUGUGAGUCCCAAAAUCCCCCAAAAAAUCCUCCCAAAAUCCCCCCAAAAUCCCCUCAAAAUCCUCCCAAAAUCCCCCCAAAAUUCCCUGAAAAAUUCCCAAAAAAUUCCCAAAAAUUCCCCAAAAAUUGCCCUUAAAUUCCACCUAAAUUCCCUCAAAAAUUCCCCCAAAAUUUCCCCAAAAUUCCCUCAAAAAAUUCCCCCCAAAUUCCUCAAAAAUUCCGAAAAAUUCUCUCAAAAGUUCCCCCUAAAAUCCUUCAAAAUCCCCCCAAAAUUCCCUCAAAAUUUCCCAAAAAUUCCCAAAAAUUCCCUCAAAAUUCCCAAAAAAAUUCCCCCAAAAUCCCCAAAAAAUUCCCAAAAAAUUCCCCAAAAUCCUCUAAAAAUUCUCUUAAAAAUUCCCAAAAAUUCCCCAAAAAUCCCUAAAAAAUCCUCCCAAAAUCCCCCCAAAAUCCCUCAAAUCCACCCAAAUUCCCCCAAAUUUCCCCCAAAAUCCCUCAAAAUCCCCCCCCAAAUUCCCUCCAAUUUUCCCAAAUUGUCCCAAAUUCCCUCAAAUUCCUCCAAAAUUCCCCUGAAUUCCCUCAAAUUCCCCCAAAUUCCCCCCAAAGCCCCCCCAAAUUCCCUCAAAUUUCCCCCCAAAUCCCUCAAAAAUUCCCAAAAAAUUGCCCUUAAAUUCCACCCAAAUUCCCUCAAAAAUUCCCCCAAAAUUUCCCCAAAAUUCCCUCAAAAAAUUCCCCCCAAAUUCCUCAAAAAUUCCCUCAAAAAUUCCCAAAAAUUCCCCAAAAAAUUCCCAAAAACUUCCCAAAAAAUUCCUCAAAAUCCUCCAAAAAUUCCCUCAAAAAUUCCUAAAAAAUUCCCUCAAAAUUCCCCCAAAAAAUCCCCCCAAAAUCCCCCAAAAUAUCCCCCAAAAUCCCCCCAAAAUUCCCUCAAAAAUUCCCAAAAAAUCCCCCCAAAAUCCUUAAAAAUCCUCCCAAAAUUCCCUCAAAAAUUCCCUCAAAAAUUCCCAAGAAAUUCCCAAAAAAUUCCCCAAAAUCCUCUAAAAAUUCCCUCAAAAAUUCCCAAAAAUUCCCCAAAAAUUCCCAAAAAAUUCCCCAAAAUCCUCCAAAAAUUCCCUCAAAAAUUCCUAAAAAAUUCCCUCAAA